This 440-nucleotide ribosomal RNA is filed under the name uncultured bacterium. RNAcentral's name for it is "partial 16S ribosomal RNA". It matches the Rfam family "Bacterial small subunit ribosomal RNA", at positions 338 to 795 of the family's 1533-position model. The record is from RNAcentral.
CCUACGGGUGGCAGCAGUGGGGAAUAUUGCACAAUGGGGGAAACCCUGAUGCAGCGACGCCGCGUGAGUGAAGAAGUAAUUCGUUAUGGAAAGCUCUAUCAGCAGGGAAGUAAAUGACGGUACCUGAGUAAGAAUCCCCGGCUAACUACGUGCCCGCAGCCGCGGUAAUACGUAGGGGGCCAGCGUUAUCCGGAUUUACUGGGUGUAAAGGGGGCGUAGACGGCAGUGCAAGUCUGGAGUGAAAGGCGGGGGCUCAACCCCAGGACUGCAGUGGAAACUGUAAGGCUGGAGUGCAGGAGAGGUAAGUGGAAUUCCUAGUGUAGCGGUGAAAUGCGUAGAUAUUAGGAGGAACACCAGUGGCGAAGGCGGCUUACUGGACUGUAACUGACGUUGAGGCUCGAAAGCGUGGGGAGCAAACAGGAUUAGAUACCCCAGUAGUC